RNA transcript from Solanum dulcamara, 2187 nucleotides. It is a transcript of the gene named DEAD-box ATP-dependent RNA helicase 35-like, with no coding region annotated. Lineage: Eukaryota; Viridiplantae; Streptophyta; Magnoliopsida; Solanales; Solanaceae. The record is from RefSeq and is a predicted model, not a curated record. The transcript is spliced from 3 exons.
AAGGUUUUAUUGCUAACCAUACUAUACCAUAUCAUGUCACAAAAAGCCACAUCCGAACAAGCUGUUAGGAACACCGCAGCUCCGCUGCUCGUGGCCGGGAAUUAACUCUGUGGACUCUGCAAUUUCACAACCAGGAAUCAGUGUCUGCAAUUCAUCUUCAUUGGGUACUACUCAUAUGGCAGACUCCGUAAAUUUGGAGAUGGAGGAUGAGGAUAAUUAUGUUGAAUAUGUACCAGUUGCAAAGCGCCGAGCGAUGGAGGCUCAAAAGAUCCUUCAGAGGAAGGGAAACUCUUCCGUUUUGGAAGAGGAAGAGGAAAAAUCGAAGCUUGUUGAGGCUAAGCCGAGUUUGCUUGUGAAGGCCACCCAGCUGAAGAAAGAGCAACCUGAGAUUAGUCCUACUGAACAAGUAGUCUUGCAAAAGAAAGAGAUGAUUGGGCAUUUAUCUGAUCGAAAGACAUUAAUGUCGGUUCGCGAACUAGCUAAAGGUAUUACUUAUACAGAGCCUUUGUUAACUGGUUGGAAACCACAAUUAGCCACCAGACGGAUGUCAAAGAAAGCCUGUGAUGCCAUUCGAAAGCAGUGGCAUAUUAUUGUGGAUGGCGAAGAUAUUCCUCCACCAGUAAAAAAUUUCAAGGACAUGAGGUUCCCCGAACCCAUAUUGAAGAAACUUAAAGCGAAGGGGAUUAUUCAGCCGACGCCAAUACAAGUGCAGGGCCUUCCUGUUAUUUUAUCAGGUCGCAAUAUGAUAGGUAUAGCUUUUACAGGCUCUGGAAAAACAUUGGUUUUUGUUUUGCCACUUAUCAUGGUGGCUUUGCAGGAAGAGAUUAUGAUGCCUAUUGCUCCUGGGGAAGGGCCACUCGGUUUGAUUGUCUGUCCAUCUAGAGAGCUUGCAAGACAGACGAAUGAAGUUAUAGAACAAUUUUUAGAACCUUUCAAGGAGUAUGGUUACCCUGAAUUGAGGCCUUUGCUGUGUAUUGGUGGAGUUGAUAUGAAGUCCCAAAUUGAUGUUGUCAAGAAGGGAGUGCACAUUGUGGUUGCUACACCUGGAAGGCUCAAAGAUAUGUUAGCAAAGAAGAAAAUGAACCUUGACAAUUGCAGAUACUUGACACUGGAUGAAGCAGACAGAUUGGUCGAUCUCGGUUUUGAAGAUGAUAUUAGGGAGGUGUUUGAUCAUUUCAAAGCUCAAAGACAAACUCUUCUAUUUUCUGCUACAAUGCCCACGAAGAUCCAGAAUUUUGCAACGAAGUGCAUUAGUUAAACCAAUAACUGUGAAUGUGGGGUGGGCUGGAGCAGCCACCUUGACGUGAUUCAGGAAGUGGAGUAUGUCAAGCAGGAAGCAAAGAUUGUUUAUCUUCUCGAGUGCUUGCAAAAGACUCCACCCCCCGUUCUGGUUUUCUGUGAGAACAAGGCUGAUGUGGAUGAUAUCCAUGAAUAUCUUCUCUUAAAAGGAGUUGAAGCUGUGGCUAUUCAUGGAGGCAAGGAUCAAGAGGAUAGAGAGUAUGCAAUUGCAUCAUUCAAAUCAGGAAAGAAAGAUGUUCUAGUUGCCACUGAUGUUGCCUCUAAGGAGUUGGAUUUUCCUGAGAUCCAGCAUGUAAUUAACUAUGAUAUGCCUGCCGAAAUUUAAAACUUCGUGCAUCGGAUUGGACGAACAGGAAGAUGUGGAAAAACAGGAAUCGCCACAACCUUUAUCAACAAGAAUCAGAGUGAAACAACUCUCCUUGAUCUGAAACACUUGUUACAAGAAGCGAAACAAAGGAUCCCUCCUUUCCUUGGGGAGCUAAAUGACCCUAUGGAUGACGUUGAGGCAAUCCCGAAUGCAAGUGGGGUAAAGGGUUGUGCAUAUUGUGGUGGGCUUGGUCAUCGUAUCCGUGACUGCCCCAAGCUAGAGCACCAAAAGAGUGGGCAGAUAUCCCAUUCAAGGAGAGACUACUUCGGUUCUGGAGGUUAUCGUGGAGAAAUUUAAUUCCCUUGCCAAAUGUAUCUUCUUCUCUUUGUAGCUUGAUUAUAGUUACUACUCAUAAGUUUCUCAAUGUAAAAUGUAACAUUCAUGGUUAAUUUAAACGUUAUUGUUUCUUGAACAGUGUUAGAUGUUUUAACUUUUUGUUCCAGAAUUCCAGAUGUAUCUCAACGUUAGACAGAUGUGAGCGUCUAUUUUAUGUCAUCAAUAUUUAUGUUCACUUUGGAUCA